CCCUGUGUGCUUGGUUCUUGUGUUGUUGAUGCAUUUGUAUUGGAUAUUGUGUUCAGUGAUGUCACUCUCAUGCUCGAAGUAGAUGGGCGAAUAUACACAUUUCCACUACUGGCAGUGAAAACUCCAAGGCCCUGUUUUGCAAAAGCCCUCUCCUUGUGUAUGGUACUCUUCAUUAGUUUGGUAGAACUCUCCUUGUUCUUUGAGGUGGAUAUCUCUUUUGGUUUGGCAGGUCUUCCCCUUUUCCUCUGAUUAACAUAUGAAUCACAUGCUUAGAUUAUGAAUAUUCCCAAAAUAUAUGUAUGCAUAAAAUGAAAUCAUAACAUUAGACAUACCUUUUUUGGAGAUUCUUUCUGCACUUGUUGAUUUUUACAUCCUCUGCUAUUAUGUCCUUUCCCUUGACAGUUGCUGCAAGUCAUAAUUACACCAUGCUUUGUGAGUUUCCC
RNAcentral lists this long non-coding RNA (443 nucleotides) under Salvia miltiorrhiza (redroot sage). Its description in RNAcentral is "long non-coding RNA (SMIL_LNC007296)". The record is from RNAcentral. Lineage: Eukaryota; Viridiplantae; Streptophyta; Magnoliopsida; Lamiales; Lamiaceae.